RNAcentral lists this non-coding RNA (103 nucleotides) under Clostridium cylindrosporum. Its description in RNAcentral is "Glycine sequence". It matches the Rfam family "Glycine riboswitch aptamer". Rfam says of the family: This family represents the bacterial glycine riboswitch. The record is from RNAcentral. RNAcentral also lists the same sequence under 1 other name. Lineage: Bacteria; Bacillati; Bacillota; Clostridia; Eubacteriales; Clostridiaceae.
AUGAAGUAAGUAGGAGAGACUUUGAAAUUUUCAAAGCGCCGAAGGGGUAAGUUAACAAAGUCCUUGUUAAUGAUCUUUCAGGCAAAGGGACUACUUAUGGACA